This is a long non-coding RNA of Musca domestica (house fly), 937 nucleotides long. RefSeq lists it as uncharacterized. The record is from RefSeq and is a predicted model, not a curated record. The transcript has 6 exons. Lineage: Eukaryota; Metazoa; Arthropoda; Insecta; Diptera; Muscidae.
AUUCUAACCACGAUGUGUGCUUUUCCAUUUGGUAGACUUCAUUCAGUAGUAAGUUUUCAUUACUUUCGAGUUCUUUAUUUUCUUCUGGUGGCUUUGGAUAUGCUUACAAAAUGGCACAACCCGAGCAGUGUUGUAUAUAAUUUCUAACUCCUUGGCCACUAUUGGGGAAAUAGAGACCCAGAUCGAAAAUCUGUACGCAAAGAUAGAUCUGAUUGCGACUUUAUAGAGAAUUGGUGAAAGUAAUACCCAUGUAUUUGAGGGUGAUUUUAAAAGGAAUCUCAAUUCUGUUUCUGGGGCAUUUUCCUGAAGCGAUCCGGAAACAUAUUGCUACUGAUUUCUAGGCAUUGUUUUUCACUCCCCAUUUUUUAAGAAUUCAUGAAUGCUCUGGAGAUGAGUUCUAGCGUUUUGUAAGGUGUUUUUGGGCGAAAUGUUGUGUGCUUAAAUUAAGCAGUGUAAAAAUGAAGAGUGAAAAAACUUACCAUCAACUUGACCAGAUAUGUGUCUAGGCCAAUUUGGAUUAACUUGUAAAGUACUCCUGCGUGACAUACUGAAUCAAAUUCUUUCUGGAUAUCUAAGGAAAUCGCUGCAGUAGACACUUGGUUCCUUAGGUUUGACGUUAUAUCACUAUGGAGCUUCAGUAGUGCAUGUUGUCUGCCUCAAAUAACUUCCCGAUGUUGGACAGUAGUGAUGUUGAUCGACAAUUGUCUAAGGUAUUGUCAUUAAUCAUAUUCUUUUUUAUGGGGAUCAUUUUCGCCAAUUUCCAGAGUGAUGGGAAAUAUCCAUUGUUAAUGCAGUUGUUGAACAGGCAGGGUUGGUGAAGUGAAAAUAACUUGUUCAAUGAAUUGAAGUUAUCAUCAAAUGAAUCGAUGUGCAGUGGAGCGGCAUUGAUGCAUGUUGUGACUCUAGAGUUAAGAUCGUUUACAGAAUUUGUGGGCAG